Long non-coding RNA from Manis pentadactyla (Chinese pangolin), 388 nucleotides. RefSeq lists it as uncharacterized. Lineage: Eukaryota; Metazoa; Chordata; Mammalia; Pholidota; Manidae. The transcript has 2 exons. The record is from RefSeq and is a predicted model, not a curated record.
AAGAAGAGGAUGCCAGUGAAAUGAGUUUUUCCAAAGGCAACAGCAUGUGCAAAGGCCCCGGGGCAAGUCAGAGUUGGAGAAACCAUGGGAGAACUGUGUGGCUUGGAGUGAGAGAGCAAAACAAAGGGCCAAGCCAGGCUUCAUCUCAUCUAAUCCUCACCACAGUCCAAGGUUCUGAGUUACCCCCACUUUAGAGAUGAGGAAAAGGAGGUCACAGAACUUCAUGGACCUGAGAUUCCAACCAGACUCAAACCAGCCCUUCUGCCUGUUGCUUCCUUUCCCCCUGCCGGCGGGUGGGGGGUAGUAUAUGCAUCACUGUACAUCUUAUGAAAUCCUUUUCUGGACAAGGUAGACACAACUAGCUAAAUAAAAUUUAAAAUGACCUCUA